GGCGGCGUGCCUAACACAUGCAAGUCGAGCGAUUCUCUUCGGAGAAGAGCGGCGGACGGGUGAGUAACGCGUGGGUAACCUGCCCUAUACACACGGAUAACAUACCGAAAGGUAUGCUAAUACGAGAUAACAUAAGAGAUUCGCAUGGAUUUCUUAUCAAAGCUUUUGCGGUAUAGGAUGGACCCGCGUCUGAUUAGCUAGUUGGUAAGGUAACGGCUUACCAAGGCGACGAUCAGUAGCCGACCUGAGAGGGUGAUCGGCCACAUUGGAACUGAGACACGGUCCAAACUCCUACGGGAGGCAGCAGUGGGGAAUAUUGCACAAUGGGCGAAAGCCUGAUGCAGCAACGCCGCGUGAGCGAUGAAGGCCUUCGGGUCGUAAAGCUCUGUCCUCAAGGAAGAUAAUGACGGUACUUGAGGAGGAAGCCCCGGCUAACUACGUGCCAGCAGCCGCGGUAAUACGUAGGGGGCUAGCGUUAUCCGGAAUUACUGGGCGUAAAGGGUGCGUAGGUGGUUUCUUAAGUCAGAGGUGAAAGGCUACGGCUCAACCGUAGUAAGCCUUUGAAACUGAGAAACUUGAGUGCAAGAGAGGAGAGUAGAAUUCCUAGUGUAGCGGUGAAAUGCGUAGAUAUUAGGAGGAAUACCAGUUGCGAAGGCGGCUCUCUGGACUGUAACUGACACUGAGGCACGAAAGCGUGGGGAGCAAACAGGAUUAGAUACUCUGGUAGUCCACGCUGUAAACGAUGAGUACUAGCUGUCGGAGGUUACCCCCUUCGGUGGCGCAGCUAACGCAUUAAGUACUCCGCCUGGGAAGUACGCUCGCAAGAGUGAAACUCAAAGGAAUUGACGGGGACCCGCACAAGUAGCGGAGCAUGUGGUUUAAUUCGAAGCAACGCGAAGAACCUUACCUAAGCUUGACAUCCUCCUGACCUCUCCCUAAUCGGAGAUUUCCCUUCGGGGACAGAAGUGACAGGUGGUGCAUGGUUGUCGUCAGCUCGUGUCGUGAGAUGUUGGGUUAAGUCCCGCAACGAGCGCAACCCUUGCCUUUAGUUGCCAGCAUUAAGUUGGGCACUCUAGAGGGACUGCCAGGGAUAACCUGGAGGAAGGUGGGGAUGACGUCAAAUCAUCAUGCCCCUUAUGCUUAGGGCUACACACGUGCUACAAUGGGUGGUACAGAGGGCGGCCAAGUCGUGAGGCGGAGCUAAUCCCUUAAAGCCAUUCUCAGUUCGGAUUGUAGGCUGAAACUCGCCUACAUGAAGCUGGAGUUACUAGUAAUCGCAGAUCAGAAUGCUGCGGUGAAUGCGUUCCCGGGUCUUGUACACACCGCCCGUCACACCAUGGGAGUUGGGGGCGCCCGAAGCCGGUUAGCUAACCUUUUGGAAGCGGCCGUCGAAGGUGAAACCAAUAACUGGGGUGAAGAC
RNAcentral lists this ribosomal RNA (1420 nucleotides) under uncultured organism. Its description in RNAcentral is "partial small subunit ribosomal RNA". It matches the Rfam family "Bacterial small subunit ribosomal RNA". The record is from RNAcentral.